Molecule: ribosomal RNA, 385 nt
Filed under: uncultured bacterium
Lineage: Bacteria
Description: bacterial SSU rRNA
Rfam family: Bacterial small subunit ribosomal RNA
Source: RNAcentral
AACGCGAAGAACCUUACCAAGGCUUGACAUACACCGGAAAGCAUUAGAGAUAGUGCCCCCCUUGUGGUCGGUGUACAGGUGGUGCAUGGCUGUCGUCAGCUCGUGUCGUGAGAUGUUGGGUUAAGUCCCGCAACGAGCGCAACCCUUGUUCUGUGUUGCCAGCAUGCCCUUCGGGGUGAUGGGGACUCACAGGAGACUGCCGGGGUCAAAUCGGAGGAAGGUGGGGACGACGUCAAGUCAUCAUGCCCCUUAUGUCUUGGGCUGCACACGUGCUACAAUGGCAGGUACAAAGAGCUGCGAUACCGUGAGGUUGAGCGAAUCUCAAAAAGCCUGUCUCAGAUCGGAUUGGGGUCUGCAACUCGACCCCAUGAAGUCGGAGUUGCUA